AAGGCCUUAGCUUAAUUAAAGCGUCUGAUUUGCAUUCAGUUAAUGUGGGAUAGAGCCCCGCAGGUCUUA
Molecule: transfer RNA, 69 nt
Filed under: Gymnothorax kidako (Kidako moray)
Lineage: Eukaryota; Metazoa; Chordata; Actinopteri; Anguilliformes; Muraenidae
Description: tRNA-Ala
Rfam family: tRNA
About the family: Transfer RNA (tRNA) molecules are approximately 80 nucleotides in length. Their secondary structure includes four short double-helical elements and three loops (D, anti-codon, and T loops).
Source: RNAcentral